RNAcentral lists this ribosomal RNA (236 nucleotides) under uncultured bacterium. RNAcentral's name for it is "partial 16S ribosomal RNA". It matches the Rfam family "Bacterial small subunit ribosomal RNA", at positions 100 to 334 of the family's 1533-position model. The record is from RNAcentral.
CGGCACGGGUGAGUAACACGUAUCCAACCUGCCGUCUACUCUUGGACAGCCUUCUGAAAGGAAGAUUAAUACAAGAUGGCAUCAUGAGUUCACAUGUUCACAUGAUUAAAGGUAUUCCGGUGGACGAUGGGGAUGCGUUCCAUUAGAUAGUAGGCGGGGUAACGGCCCACCUAGUCUUCGAUGGAUAGGGGUUCUGAGAGGAAGGUCCCCCACAUUGGAACUGAGACACGGUCCAA